AUGAAAGCUGGAACUAGCAUCUUUUUUUGCUACUACUAUCUUGGUUUUGCUGGCCAACUGAAUUUUGCUACCACCGUCUUCAAUUUUUGCUGGAACCAGCAAUCUUUUUGUUACCACUAUCUUUUGUUUUUGCUGGAACUAGACCCAAUCUUGCUUCCAUCGCCUUCGAUUUUUGCUGGAACCAGUAAUAUUUUUUGCUACCACUAUCUUUUGUUUUUACUGGAACCAGCCCCAAUUUUGCUUCAACCGCCAUCGACUUUUGCUGGAACCAGCAAUCCGUUCUUUGCUACCAUCAGCUUUGUCCGGAAGCGACACCGCCAUCGCCAUUGA
Molecule: ribosomal RNA, 330 nt
Filed under: Triticum aestivum (bread wheat)
Lineage: Eukaryota; Viridiplantae; Streptophyta; Magnoliopsida; Poales; Poaceae
Description: partial small subunit ribosomal RNA
Source: RNAcentral